RNAcentral lists this transfer RNA (80 nucleotides) under Platerodrilus montanus. Its description in RNAcentral is "tRNA-Glu". The record is from RNAcentral. Lineage: Eukaryota; Metazoa; Arthropoda; Insecta; Coleoptera; Lycidae.
GUUAACAAAAAAAAGUGCUCAAAUUUGAGUAGUUUAAAGAAAAACAUUACACUUUCAUCGUAAAAUUAAAUAUUUUUCAA